Molecule: ribosomal RNA, 651 nt
Filed under: uncultured bacterium
Lineage: Bacteria
Description: bacterial SSU rRNA
Rfam family: Bacterial small subunit ribosomal RNA
Source: RNAcentral
AGUGGCGAACGGGUGAGUAACGCGUGGGUAACCUGCCCUAUGGAAAGGAAUAGCCUCGGGAAACUGGGAGUAAUGCCUUAUAAUAUAUGUUUGUCGCAUGGCAGAUAUAUUAAACGCUCCGGUGCCAUAGGAUGGACCCGCGUCCCAUUAGCUAGUUGGUGAGAUAACAGCCCACCAAGGCGACGAUGGGUAACCGGUCUGAGAGGGCGAACGGUCACACUGGAACUGAGACACGGUCCAGACUCCUACGGGAGGCAGCAGUGGGGAAUAUUGCGCAAUGGGGGAAACCCUGACGCAGCAAUACCGCGUGAGUGAAGAAGGUUUUCGGAUCGUAAAGCUCUGUUAUUGGGGAAGAAAAAAAGACGGUACCCAAGAAGAAAGUCCCGGCUAACUACGUGCCAGCAGCCGCGGUAAUACGUAGGGGACAAGCGUUGUCCGGAUUUACUGGGCGUAAAGGGCACGCAGGCGGUUUUUUAAGUCAGAUGUGAAAGGUACCGGCUCAACCGGUGACAUGCAUUUGAAACUGAAAGACUUGAGUAUUGGAGAGGCAAGUGGAAUUCCUAGUGUAGCGGUGAAAUGCGUAGAUAUUAGGAGGAACACCGGUGGCGAAGGCGGCUUGCUGGACAAAUACUGACGCUGAGGUGCGAAAGC